AAUUACCUGCAAUAAUCGUAGAUUUUUUUUUCAGAUUUUUAUUACUUGGAGAAAUACGACGAGAAAUUUUAAAUAUUCAAAUGUAAGUUAUACAGGUAAAAUUAAUAAUUCCAGCCAAUUAUCUUUCUUCCUUAAAUAUGCUUGGCAAAAAUGUAUCUCGAUUCAUCGAGCUGAUCGAUAAACUCGUGCAGCAAAACGAAGAGUGAACGUUUGUAAAGGCAUAAAGGAGGAGGUUGAUGGUUCCGAUUGAACGAAAAGGGAUGGAACGAUAGUGAGAACGGAGAGUGGAAAGUAAUUUGCAACGUCGAGUGGGAAGAUGGCGUGGCCAUCGUUACGGGACGAAUAUCCGAUUCAAUUUGUCCAUGUGAUCUAGGCACACGUGUCUCCUUUGAUCUUUCGCAAUUUUGAAAAUCGAAGCACGAAUAUGUAAAACGGUGGUGUUCACGUCUCACAAACGGUAAUUUCGAUCGAAUUGAGAACACGAGAUUGAUAAUUGAAACACCGAUGAUUCGGUGAAAAAUUCGAUUGAAUUAAGAUUCGUGGAAGAUGGACGGUUGGUUAAAAAUGAUCGAGUUAGACAUUUAUCACGUUGGAUGAGUAAUAGAAUUGUUAUUGCAGGAAGUCGUUCCCAGCUGGCCCACUCAAAUGUGUUUCGUUUCACUAUCGAAAUCAGUUACUUUACGAGUUUCGUUUAAUUGUAUUACUUUUUCGGAAAUUAAUUAAGAGUUACUUUUUUUUUAAAUUGCAUCGAAGUUAAUAGAACCAAUUUUCGUAACAUAAUUAAUGAUAUUGACGCAAAAAAAAAAAAAAUGUCUCGUAUAUCGCGCAAAUUGUCAACUUAAUUAACUAAGUGCAUUAUCUCCCGUGUAAAUUUACCUUACGAAAACAAACAUAAAUAAAAUUUAUCGCGAAAUAAAAUUUCACGCCACUUACAAUGUAUCUUACACGUGGAUCUAAUCCACGUGUGAAAUCGAAAUCAGAAUCGAGCGAACUAAAUCUAAAAUAUACUUAAUCCUUGCGUAACAUGGGCGCGUUUUAAUCGAAAUUGCAAUUUAUGCAAAUUUACAGAAGAAUUUUUCACUCGCAUGCAUCUAUAACCCAUCCAAUGCAGCCAAAAAGGUAGCGCAUUCUUAAUCCAUUCGAUUGAAAUCGAAAUCGCAGCGAAGCAUACGACACGACGGAACGAUCUCGUGACCGAUAUAUCGCCGAAUCGAGUGAAAGAAUCGCAACGAGUGCAUCGACUGCACAGCCUCGCCUUGACUCCUUCCUUUCUUUUUCCCCCUAAGGAUCCCAUUGGCCCCGAUUAACUUGCCCCGGUUGUUGCCUCUUAUCGCUCUCUCAGGGUCAACACGCGACGAUAAUUAGCGGACUGGUCGCGCAAGGAGUACACCGCGGUGAAUACGAGUGAAACGGUGAGAAACGGUGUUUGCAGAGUGUGCAUACGAGUGUAAAUCUGCAACGUAUAGAUCGAGGAUCUACGCUACGGAUUUCUUUGUUUUUUUUUUUCCUUUUUCUUCCCCUGCGAUUAAGAAAUUAAAGGAAAAACACGAGAGAUGUCUUAUCGAAGAAAGAAAAUGCUAACGUGCUUUACAAUUAUACGUUACGUGUACACUAAUUCACGAGACUAAAGAAAUGUGAAUGAAUUAUCACAUGUUUUAUUUAUUUUUUUUUUCUUUCGUGUAAUUGUGACAAUUUCUUUCACGUUAACGUGUGAUAAAAUUGUAGAUAGUUCUUUUAAUAAUUACCUGUUAAAUAAGAUAAUUCGAUGGUUCUUCAUUAAAAAAAAUUCAAUUAAAAGUCAUUUUUAAUCGCAUUUUUGUUUAAAUCGUUUCGAAAAAGUGGAAUAAUGAAUGUUCCGGAGAGAUAGAAUUCUGCCGUUAAAUUAUAUAUAGUAAAAGAGUAAGUAUUUUGGGAUUCUAACCUAAUCUAACCUAACUUAAUAUAUGUAUAGAAAGAUAGAAUUAAAACAGAAUUUAAUAGCAUCAUGCAUCGUAUUAAAAUAUAAACGAAUAAUGAAACGAGAUAAUUACAUAAAUUUUAAAUGUAAUAAAAGUAUAUUCGUAUUUAAAUACGAGACAGUGUUAACGAUACGAGCGUGGCCAAACGAGGAGCACAUUACCGGUGAAUGUACCGCUAUUUUUCUACCAACUCCUUAAUUAGUAACUAGCAAGUGUAACGUUAAACGUUUUACACUUAACCUCAACCGGAUGUUGCACCUAUGAAAAAAGGUUAAGACUCGUUCCACCAAUUUUAUUUCAAUCCUGCGACAUUUAUUUCGCGAAUAAAAUUAACCACGAUUAAUGCAUGAAACUUUAUUUUUAAUCCUUCAACAUUUAUUUCACGAAUCUAUAUUAUUUUCCCACGACACGCGCGGUUCUACUUCAGUUUCGAAAGUUCGCAGUUCUACUUCCGAUUGCGCCCGACAAUAGAGGCGAAAUCAUCAUUAAUUCGCAACGGAGGAGCUACUUUUAAUUAAGGGUGGUGUGACGGGGAAAAACUGAGUUUUAUUCGCCCCCUCGUUAAAAGCCCCCUAUGCACAACGACUCUUUGUCAUCACUUAUGAAUGUGUAACUGAAUAAAAGCCCUGGGUGGCACCUGUAGGGUCGACCAAACCUUCUUUACCAUCCUGAUCCCUUUUGUUUUUAGAGAUCGUUGCUCGGAUACGUUAGACGGAAUAAAUGUACACCGAGCUUGCUCUAAACUCGGUGUUCUCAAACCUAUCUCGAGUUGCCACAAUAACCUCGUUAAUAAGUAACAAGUAAUAUAACGAAAAGAUUGUAAAUUUUUAUGCAAUUUUAAAACGACAUAAUAAAUAUUCGAUAUGUAAAAAGUAUGUGUCGUGUUAUUGAAAAUAUAUUUCAAGCUGUGCAAUAUUACGCAAAAUCAUAACUUUAUUACGUAGAUUUAUCUAUGUAAAAAUUAUAUUAUAUACAAAAAAUAUCGUAAUUGGAUUUUAUAAUAUUCAAUCAUCGUAUCAGAAAAAAAAUGUAUUUACAAAGAAAUUCAAUAAUAAGACAAAAAAUCCAAUAAUAAGAUAAAAAAAUCCAAUAACAAGUUAAAGAAUUAAUUAAACGAAUUAACACAUCAGGCUUUCAUUGUCUUUAAGUCAAGAUUACAUUAUAUAUUUCUAUUACAAUAUGACAAUGUAAAUAUAAGUGUAUUGAAAUAAACGGUCCGCUUGUUGAGAACCACUAUUCUAACGAUAUCCCAUUUGCCCUCUAAGGUGGCUCGCUUGGCUACGUCCUUUUAAUCUAACACGAGUGUAAAUAUACGAAGCGUUUUGUACUUCGUGAAAGAAUCUAAUUAGGAAAUGAACGAGAUACGUAGUACGUGGCAUGAAGAUUUUAUCAUCGGGAUAAUUAUCUCGUUUCUUUGGAUUGUAAAAUUGCGAAAACUACUUUUGUGCAUUAAACUUUCCACCAGUUGACAUGGAAAGUGUUAUUCGUGCGGAUAGGUCAACAGAAGUAUCGUUGCUAAGGUUUAUGAAACCUUUCGAUGGAAGUCGUGUCGACAUGUGGGCCGACAUUUACAUAGUACAAUAGUACGUUAUGUUUCGCGAAGAAAUAGAAAGUUGCUUGCAAUGAUCUUCUGCCGUAUUCCGACUUGAUGUGAUCCUUCGAUUAUACUUGAUACGUGAAGUGAAAAUUUAAUAUCCACGCAAACUUUUCAGUAAUUUGAUUUUUUAUCUCGGUAAUAAAAUGAAAUAUAGAUUUAAUAUUAUCUACAAAUAGAUGUAUCAAAUUAUUAUAAAUUAUAAAUUAUAAUAUCAUAAUACAUAUAAUGUGAAAAAGUGUUUUCCUUUUCUCAAAAAUUUUCUUUUUUUAAGUAAAAUUGAAAUGUCGAAAUAUCACUUUUACAAUUUAUUUUGAGAGAAGUAAAUGAUAGUUUUAUACUUUUUUUUUCCCUAAAUUUUAUUAUACAUUAUACAAUUAUAUUCUAUAUCCGUUCUACCAAAAAUUUUGAAUUGAUCAUUUUAGAUUAUCAUAAUUCCAUGCUUUUUUAAAUAUAAUGAAUAAAAAUUGACAAUCGAACUAUUUUGAUCGUAGACAAAAAAAUUGCUAAUAUCGUGUUAAUCAUUUACAAGAUGUUAAAUGUUUCAUGUUUUUGUUUGAACAAAUUGAAGACAAAGAAUAUAUUUGCAUAUUAUCGCGUACGUUAUAAUUACAUCACAGAGAAACCAGUUCCUACGUCGUCUUAUCCGUUCUUCACCGAAGCGCAGAUUAAUCUCGCGAUUUUUGAACGUUUAUCGAUCCACCCACCCACGCGACCUGCUUACUUGCACUAUGUGUGCACAUGCGUGCACAUUUGUAUAUAAAUCAUAUGUGCCCGACUUCUAUCUUAAAAAAAAAAAAAAACUCAUCCAAUGCCGGCAAAGUAAAUAAAUUGCCCACAAUGCUAACCGCAAUUUUAUUUGUUCGAUGAAGAAUUCUCGUUUGUACGAGUUAAAACGUUUUCAUUAUUUAUUGUUUUCAUCGAGGAGAUAAUGAAAAUUUAAUUUUUAUCAAAACUCUGAAUCGCGAAAUGAGUUCGAAUAUUUUUAAACACAAACAUUUUUAUUCUUGAUUGAAAAUCGCGAUUAAUAUUUAAUAUCGAAAAUAACGAUGAUUUCCAAUAGAUUUUCAAUCUCUCGAUCUUUUUUGAUUUAUGUCUUAUCUCGCUAUCUCAAAGAUUUUUAUUAAUAAACUUUGUAACAUAAUAACUAAUUAAAUUCUUAAAAAUAAUAUUGUGCCUUUAACAAUUAAAAUAUCUUAGGUAUUUUUAUAUUUAAUAAAAUAUAUAAGAUAUUUAAAAAAAAUAUUUAAUUUUCAAAUGCCUUCCUCCCAAAAUAUAGGUCUCACGUUGGGAAACACUGCAAUAGAUCAUGCUAGAUCAUACGUGCGCAACACGAGUCAUUAGAUCCCCCUUUCAUACGUACUUAAAUCCUCUUGAAUAUUUCCAAGUCUACAUAUCAUCUUUAUACAUUUCCUUUACUUAGCUCUAUGCUUGAAAUAAAAUUAGAAAUCUAGAAUUAAAAAAAAAAAAGAAAAACCUAACCUAACUUAAUCUAACUUAACCUAACCUAAAAAAAAAAGAUGCAAAAGAAAUUAUAAAUGCUUACGCAUCAAUGGGAAGGAAAUAAUAAUAGUAACUUUUUAAUUACUUUCAAUUACUCAAAAUACACGCCUCACGUUGGGAAACACUGCAAUAGGCCACGCUAGAUUAUACUAGAGCGCAACAUGAGUCACUAUGCGCACCUAAAUCCCCUUCAACCUUCCAACCCUGUAUAUCUCCACCUUUAUACACUCUCCCACGCGUUCGAUGCCAAGUAGGGAUUUACCGAUUCAGCUAAAGCUUAGACGAGAACACAACUGUGUGUGAUUGUUACAGCGAGAGAUACAAUGUACCGGCAGAGUUUUCCAUCGAGUAACAGCCGUGUUCGCAUCGAUCCAUGUAUAUAACGAUACCUACCACCGCGGGAAACGCGUCAUUAAGGAUUCCACGGAUAAUUGCCCGCCGACUCUGUCACGGUUCAUUCUAUAGAAUUUCUCGGCUCGAUACACGAUGCAGUUUCGUUCGAUCUGGAAAAGUGAAUUGUUGCAAUAUGGAAUUAAUUAUAGUAUUACGAGAUUGAGUUAUGUUUUUCUAUUACUUUUUUCUUUUUUUUUUUUGCUACUUUGUUAUAUAUGAAGUUUAUGUAUGAAGUUAAUUUAAUAUUAUUGAGUUUGAUUCGAGUGAAUUUAGUGAAAUUUGUUUGGACUAUUAUUUGUUGAUUUUCCUAUUUUGUUAUUGUUGUUAUCACUUUGUAUGGAGUUAAUUUAAUAUAAUUGAAUUUGGUAUUUAUGUAAAGUAUUAGAAAAUGCUUUUUAUACUUGUCAUGGAGAUCAUUCAAUGAAUGAAGCUUUGAGCCAGUUCUCAUGAUCGUCUUGCGUAAGGCGAGCAACAUUUAAAGGUCACUAUUACGUCUGAACUACUACACUUUACUAUCUGCUACGCUCUUUGGUUAGAAUAAGUAGCUAAUGGUCGUGGAGGCUUCAUCUUCUUCUCUGGGUUAUUUAAUCAAGUAUAUUAAUCGCCAUUUGCAUAGCGUAUAAUUUAUCUCAAGACUGUGUUUCUAAAGGAGAUAAAAAUCUCUAGAAUGAAAUGAAUAGAAAAAUAAAAAUACGAGGAAAAUAUUAUUAUUGAGUAUGCUAAACGAGAUAAUAAUUCUUUUCUAAUUAAAGAUGAAAAGAAUUGAUGAUGGAAAUACCUGAAUAACGGAACGAGGCCACUUUUCUUUCAACAUCUAUUGAUCCAUUCCGAACACUAUUUUGUGAAUAAAUUCAGAACGAAUUAAAAGUUACAUUUCUUCGACAGUGCACGCUUCUUUUCGUUAUUAAGUGCAUUGUGCAACGCAAAGAUUUAAUGCAAGGCUUUGGCUUGAAAUCGGAAUCGGCUUACUCGGCAUCUUGUUUUUCCGCAGAGAUAUUACUCUUACGAACGAAAUCGUAUAUAAAUAACUUUUUUAUUGAAUUACGUAGUCACCGCUUCUACGUUUGCAUCACUGUGUACGCAACUUAUCUCUGAUACGUGAUAAGAAAACAGGAAUCUUAAAUCUCGAAUUUAAAUUUCAAAACUUUUCUCUCUCAUUUAUAAAUUACAAAUCUUUCAAACAUGGAAUUUCAUUUUUUUCCGAUAUUUGAAAAUUCAAAUAUCCGAGAAUUUAAUCAUCGAAUCCAACAUGUUAAAUAUUUCGAAUCGUAGCUGGCCAUUAUGAACGCUCUGAUGGAUAAAAAAUUACGUGACGUAAUUUCAAGAAACGAGUUGACUCACUCAUUUCAAGGAUACGAAGCAAGCAAUCAAUUUAAUAAUAAUCAAUUAAUUAAUUCGAAGGGAAAUUAAAAUACUCUUGAUACAUUCCCAUCGAACGAACGACAAUUAACCCUUUCGCAAUGGCGGAGGACUCGCGAGCAAUAAAAUGCGAGCGUCAUUCUAAUUUAUUUAGCGUGCAUUAGCAAGUGACGACGAGCGUCGCGACAGUUCGGUCGUCGAAUAAUCCACGCUCGAUCCAUUCUGGACUGCACGUGUGCUCGUAUGAAAGGCAAACCUGCACAUGUUGUCCAUAUGGUCAUACGGAUACGCGUGGCAACAGAGUACAUAGACGUUUUGUAAACGCUCACGUUUUCUAUACGACUCUCCGUAAUGCUCCUCGGGCCGUGUUCUCGCUUUUGUGUUACAGUUCGCAUUCGUUUACAAGCAAUCUUCACCUACUGAUGGACUACUGAUCGACGAUCGACUUUACUAUCAAAGAUUUACUAUGUGUACGAGUGUACGAUAAAUUUACAAGGCCGAAAAAUAAUCUUCUCUGGAAAGAAAAAAAAAAAAUAGAUUGGAUUAUAUAUCUCUGAUAAAUUUAUUGAAAAACUUACAUUUGUUCCGUAUCAGAUUCAGGAGAAUUAAUGAUGUACUUGUAUAUAAUAUUCUUAAUAUGUGAAAAAUGUUUUCUAUUUUUUUUUCACUGAAUUUAAAUGCAGUAUUGAAUAAAAAAAUAUGAACUUCUAUGAACUUUAUUCAUACCAGGGACAAUUUGAACAAAGAAGAUAAAUAUGUACAUAUUUAAAUAAAAGAGUAGGAUUAUAAGCAUAUAUAUUAUAAGAUAAAAAUUAUAUAUAUAGACAUUACUUAGACAUUUCAAUAGUUUUACGUAUAUGUAACUUUGGAUAUUAGAAAUAAAAGAAAAUGAAGUCAGUUAUAAAAAUUCACCAAAAAUAUUUAUGUAAACAAAUAUGGAGACGAUAACCUGUGAAAAGAUGAAAACAGUGAGAGACAUCUAGCGACAAUUUCAGAAAUUAGUAAUCGUACGAACGUUUCGUAUAUGUAUAAUCGAAAGCUAUCGCGAAGAGAAUCGAGCAUGGCUAAAUUCAUCCUUGCACAAUUUAAUGGUAACGUAAUAUAAUUGAAGCGUAACGAGAGAACCAAAAGAUGUGUCCGGUGAAUCGGCGUCAUAAUCAACAAAGAGCUUAUGCUAAUGAGUGACGUGCAGCGAUUUUACAAUAUCAGACUCGGUCGACACGCGUGCCUCGAAUCGAAUCCAUGAGGACGCCAUUCGUGCACGUGCACACACACGUCUCUGGAAUUCCUCGUUUCCCCCUUCGAAUGGCAUUCCUCAGGCCUCUGUCGUGUCACCUUCUUCCUCGAACAAUUGAGUCGCGAUGCUAUUUGUCGAUCCCCAACCGUAUAUCCGAGUGAGCAAAUACCUUGUGAAACCUCUUCCGCAGAAAUGGAAACGGAUUCGAAGCGUCUCGACAUGCUAUCUCAUUACUCAUCUGCAUUGUGAAUUUGUCUUUCUAGUUGGUUGAUGUAGUGUGUGUUGGCUUCGAAUUUCGACCGUGAAAAGGCAGUGAUAUCUAGAUGGCAUGUACGAGUUGGUGGUAUAUACAAUAUAUCUUUUUUUUAAGUAGAAUAUGACAUUUAGGAUAGAAACUCGUUUAAAGUACUUACAUUAUCAUUUCUACCACUUUUUAAAAAUGAAACUUCAGAGGGAACAUUGAACGUGAAUGAGGUAAAGUGUCGAACAAACUCGAUUCCUAUCGAUUAUUUUGACAAAUAGAUAAUUUCAUAGAUGUCACUUUCCGGAUUAGUAUUCAAUUUCAGACCAAAGAGGGUGUUACUGUAUCGUAGUUACUAAAUUGUGAAUAUAUUGAAAUGGAAACAUUAAACGUAUAUAUCUAUAUAUUGGAUAAAAUAAAUUCUUUUAUCUUCUAUUUUACCGAAACUUCGCUGAAUGUGCGGAACAUCCAGCGUCCCGGUUUACCUGGCCAAGUAGCACAUUCGCAAGUUGGCGCAGUACCACGACCUAAAUUUCGUGUCCGUUAAAUAUUUCAUGUUGCAGUGGUGACCGUGUACUGAAGAUAAUACUCGACGCAAAGCAGAUACGCUUUUUCUGCCGACCAUCCAUUUUGUUGGUCGAUAAUGUUGGUCCAUUUAUGAUCGGUAUAAGAUAAUACACUAUUUUAGCAUGUACACAAACCAUUCAACGCGAAAUUACUAACAAUAUUUCGUCGGAUAUAUUUACGAAACAUACUUUAUAUUGCAACUAUGUUUCUUCAAUGGUUUUUUCCAAAAUAUUUCUUUUCUUCUACAAAAUAAUUUUGUAACGAUAAAUUUGGCAUCUAACAUGUUAUUAUAAUAAUAAUAAACGUGAAAAAAUAAUUCGCUUUCAUUUCUGUAACAAUAAGAGUAGAUAAGAAACAUUCCAACCAAUCCUAGCAAUAUAUACUAGCAUUUUGCCAAGUCGAUGGUAGAAUAAACGAAACUUUGUUAUGACAUGUACCAGUUUCGUUACUUGUUCCCAAUUCCCAGCACUGACAGCUUUAUAGGCUGAUACCAUUUAUGCUCGUUCGACAUAAUGUUCAAGUAGUCACGCGACGUGCAACGAAAGGUUUCUUACCAUGGAAGACAUGGAUAUGUAAACUAUUAAUUCUUUGAGUAUUAAUGCUAAAAUAUUCGGUAGAAAAUAUAAACAAAAAAAAUGAAAUAAUUUAAAAAAUUGCAUAGAAAAUUAAAAUAAAAUUAAAAGAAUUUAUUUUUAAUUAUGUUAAAGGAACAUUUGUUCAAUAAAAUGAGAGAGAAAGUUAUUUGAAAAUUACAUUAUUUUGGAAAAAGUUGGAACCGAUAUCAAAAUUCCACUCAUCAUUGGUGGCCAAGAAAUGUUACAUAAGAGAAAGUAGGUCACGCUAAAUUAUAGGCUAAAGUAAUUCACCUUGAUCAAAACUGGUAUUAAAAACCUCAAUUAAUUCUGUGUACAGAUCAUCAAUUUAUUUUCAUCAAUUUAUUUUAUCUGGUGUGAAAGAUACCAUUACGACCAACAUCCUGUAGAUUAAAAAAUAAAUAUAACGGUUUAUUUGUGUAAGUAAACCUGCAAUUUAUUUAUCGAUAAUAUAAUUUUAGCGUCAUUACACUGUGCAUGCCGAUGAACCAAAUGCAGGUACCAGUUCCCCGUUUAUAUUCGGGUCACCAAUAAAGAAAGGAUAUGAGUCGUUGAGAUUACCAACGACAGGUUGAAUAAAUUAUACUGAUCGUUACGUGUCAUAAGAGCGACGUGCAGAUCGUUCCAUGAACUAUUCACUGGUUUUAUUCGUACGAGGAGCCAGGAAAAAAAAACUUAUUGAAACUUUCUUUUUUAACUCUUUGUUAUUAAUUAAAUAUUUAUUUUUUAUAAAAAAAAAUCGAUGGUAGAAUUAUUUAUUUUUCUAGGAAAAUAUCGAGAAAAUAAAAAAUUCCGUUCCAAUCGUUCUUCAUUCUUUAACAAGUUCAUUAUCUCGAACUUCUAUGUUCGCAUUAAAGUGAAAGUCAACUCGCAGAAACAUCUGUACUCGGGUUAGUGCACCAAGAAGAUGUCUGAAGUGCAUGGGUGCCCUUGAGAACAGCAGGUUCUCAUUAGUGAUUUAAAAAGAUAGCAGAAAGAUCAAGUGUACUAAUUUCAAAGCCUAUGGAGGAUUAACGUCAGACGAACUUUGUCGUUACAAAGACCAUUCACCUCUGAGAGUUCGCUACACAUGCCUGCAGGGUGACUAUAGGUCACUCAUUGAAAUUUUCCCUUAAUGCAACGCCUCUUUAAUUACAAUUCGUCGUGAAAAACGACGUUUCAAGAAACGUCGUACGUGCAUACAUCAUUCACAUUUAAUUUAAUUUUUGUUGCGUUUCCAUAUAAUUCCAAAUAAAUCGAUGAAAAACUCGUGAACCGAAACAGUUUCUUAAUGAAAACAGAAGAAAAAUUAUUAUUAGAUCGUAUCCCUUUAAUAUUUCGAGUAUAAAUAUUUCUUAUCUUCUUAAAAUAGAAUUGGAAGAAUUUUGAUCAUUUUAUUUUAUUUUUUUAUUUUUUUUUAGAGCCAACCAUCAUAGAGCUUCGUCAAUGUACAAAAUGUUAAGAAGAAAACGUUUUCGAGACAGAAGAAAUAAAAUUGAAGUUGCUAUAUCACCGGCCAUUUGUCGCCCGGUGUAACGAUCGGCCGAGGCUCAUGAAAAUUGAAUUACGAGCGUAGCCAAGAAAAACUUGUUUUCGUUGGUCGUUGGGUAGAUACGAUCGAUAAGGGUGUUAGGAGUGUGAGCACGAAAUGUAAGGCACACGGAAUAGGCCGGCUCGAUUCUGUCGAGCAAUAAAGCACAGUUUGGGUUGGCACAUACAGAGUGACUCACGAUCAGAAGGGAAACCGUUUCACGCGUUGCUCCGACCGCCCGGUCCAAUUUACCAACCAGCUUGAUCAAUAUUGCAUGUGGCACAACUGCAAACAAAGUCGUGAAACACUUCCUUCCUCCCAGAACUUUUUUCGAUCUCUUUAAGCGGAACACGUCACGAUUCUUUCCUCUAAAAUAUAUGUAUAUAUAUAUAUAUAUAUUUGACACGAAAGAAAAAUUCGACAUCAAAGGAAAGUUACUCGGAUCGAUAUAUUCAAUUGUGGGGACGAAUUCGAAUAAUUCAAUACGGUUUCUUUUGUACUAAAAAAAUCAACUAUUUCGAUAUUUUGCAUAAAUUAUUCUUACAAGAAAUAGAUAAUUUCUUCUCUCAAAAUUCCAAAAUAUAAUUUACCUACAAUUGCUCGUUAUCAGAUAUUGCUUAUUAACUUCAUUCUUGGAGCUAACAGGAUUAAGUUGUAAAUUAACAUUAUAUAUAUAUAUAUAGAAUAAAUCUAUAACGUCGCGUCUCAUUGAUAAAAAAAUUAUGAAUAAAGCUUCUCGUUUUCACAGAUCUCCCGCUCGAUGAAUCAAGAUACUGGUGUUACUGGAUGCUGAGCUCCCAAAGACGAAGCCUUUCUUUUUUUUUUUUUUUUAUCGGCGGAAACGCGAACAACAAAGAACACCGCAACGGAACAUUACCUUCUUUUAUAUCCGCCUUACUCGAUUUUCCUAUACGAUUCGUCAUACCAUUCCUUUGUAAACGGGUCCUAUUUAUAUAACACGGGGAGGGCAUAAACGCACGUGUAACAUGCUCCAACGAUUUUUGUAUACGGCCAAGGUGGGCGUGCGCCAAUAUCGCAAACACGGGCGGACAAUUAUUGGUGGGGGCCUUGAAUAUGGCGUAUGACGUCACCUCGUUCCCCCCUUUUUUUAUCGCAACAAGGGGGUUGUAGUAGCUGUGUCCCGUUAUCGAAGAGAGACCAAACAAGGGGGUUGGACUGGCUGUGUCCCGUUAUCGAAGAGAGACCACCCCCAAUAAGAAGUUUUUAUAUGCCAAUUUAAAGCGCGCCGGAGGAGGGAGGGGAGGGGGAUGGACGAAAAUAUCUCCACUCCCGUUUCCUGCCCGUGAAAGUUCAAACGUUAAUCGGCUGAAAAAUUGUAUAUUCGUUCUUCACGAAUAUUGAUGUUAUACUUUUUAACAAGUUAAGUAUAUUUCUUUUGUUAUGAUUAUGAAGUAGAAUUUUUUUUUUUUGGAUAUUAAUAUUAUAGGAAAAAAUCUAUUGUUUAUAAAUGGAAAUUCAUCGUUUGAGGGUAUAAUUUUUGUCGAUGGAGGAAAAAGUUUUAAAAUAAUUUUAUUGUUCAUAACUUGUCAAUGGAGAAGGAAGUCUUGAAAUAAUAAAAAAUUAUACGUUGCAAUACCAGAUUAACGAUAAUUUCUUGUUGUUUAUGUAAAAGUUUCUCUAAUAAAAUAAAUAAGAUAUUAUGUAUUUAUUUUAAAGAAAAUCGAAAUAUAAUUUGCGUCAUAUUAUAUAAUGAUUUAUAAUGGUGAAAGCGUUUGAACAUUAUUUUAUAGAAUUUAUUUAAUUCUGAUUUUUAAUGAAACUUUAUACAUAUGCAGAUUAUAAUAGAACAACAUUUUUUUCAAUAUUUGAUACAAUAUCUAUUUUUUUUACAGUAUUAAAUUUUGAACUUUUUUUUUUAAUUUAAAAUUUUACUUUGACAUCAUUAAAAAGUUAUUUAUUUAAAUUUCAUCCUUUUAAAAGAUUUCAUCCUUUUAAAAUCCUUAAUGAAAAAGAAAUUUAUAUGCGAUCCAUUCAAGUUCUGUUCAAUAAGAAAAUUUUAUUAAAAAAUAAAAAAGUAUUCCAAUACUUUCGUGAACCACUAUAUUACGAUACUGUGGAAAUAAACCAAAUAUGUCACAAAUAGUUAAAUAGAAAAAAUGAAUAUCACUUUCGAUGGAAUGAAUAUUUGAUUUUUCAAUAUAAUACCAGAUUCUUAUUUUUAUUCCUCUUCUUCGAUAUGUAGUACAUUUUAAUAAUUUUUCUUUAAUAAUAAAAAAAAAAGAGAAAGAAAGAAAGAAAGAAAGAAUCGAUUCGGAAAACACAGACGGAGAAUUGACAAGAGACGACGGCGACGAGUGUUCGUUGUAGGACCCGACUUGACUCUACGAUUGUGCUCCGUCUACCUUUACUAAUCCCUCCGGUUAAGCGGAUCUACCUUGUGCGUCGUACGUUUCCGGUCUGCGGCUUACACUUGUAUCGCUAUUUUCACGGCGAACUCCAACGAUAGGCUACUUGUCCUUAUCCAAAUCGGCUCGGUUAAUCGGGUGGAAUCGAAUGUCAACAACCGGUUGUGGUAUAUCACCGUUCGGUUAACCUUGCUGUUACGUAUCGAAAAGAGAAUAGAAAAACGUGACUAACUCGUUCGCUCGAGCUGGUGCGGUUUUGGACUUCGUUGUUCCUAGAAACGCCAGAACUAGAAAACAGACCGAGUUUUUCUUCCAAUUAAGAAUAUUGCCCGUAGAAUGUUGACAUACUCUCGAAAGGUCGAAUCAAGGAGAGAAAAGUGGACACAAAAUAGUAUACAAAACGUAUAACGUACAAUUCUUCGUUUACAUUCCGUUUUGUUAAUUGAAAAAUUGUUCUACAAAUUCUUCCAAUUCUAAUGAUAUAUUCGAAUAUUGAAAUUCGUUCCAAUAAGGUAUCACGUAGAAAAUAUUUCCAACAGAUAUUCAGAAUAAGGUAUAUAUGUUUGUCUGCAUGUUUUCACGACGAAUAAUCAAUACAAUAACAAGCGUAUAAAAGCGCUCGCUUUAUAUUGGUGUUGACAUAAUAUCGCGAACAAAGCGAUAUAACGAUAACAAAACCAAGCCCCAUAACGUAACAGGUACUGACAUUGUAUCCGAUUUGAAUGUUUAAUACAUAAUACGUGUAUCUCUUUAUACGGAGAAGCAAAGAAGGGAUCGAUAAUAAAAUUUAUAUCCUAACCCUAAAACGAUCGUAAGUAAAUUUGCCACUGUUAAUAAUCAUUACUGAAAUAAUAAUCUCGAGACUUGAACGUCACGUGGAAAUUACGUAGAUCUUAAUUCACGUAACCAGUAGGAACACAGUUAUUAUUCGAUCGACUCCGCAAAAUAACACAAAACUGCAACGGCUACGAAGUAUAUUUAACUUGUUUGCUUUGAGUAAAUACUUUGUCCUCCUUUCCGUGUUGUCAGGUGAGCGCUGUCGUCGCCAAUUUAGUGAUGCGCGCGCCAAAUGGAAGAUCGAACGUUGGAUCUAACGGACGAAAAAGAAAAGAAACAUCGUGUCGCGAGCGAGUGUGAUAUCGAGUUAAAACAAAAUUGUUUCAUUUAAACAAGAUGAACGAGACGUAAGAAACGUGUAUUACAGCAUUGCGUUACACUUGGAUAUCGAAUUAUUACUGUUGUACUCUUCGUCAAUCGUCGGGUCUUAAGUUUCAUACGAAUCGUAUGAAUAAAAAAGCUAAUCGUGUAAUUGUCGUUUAAAAAUAUUUUAUUCUUCAAAAUUUUCCACAUCGAUAAUGGUUCGAUCGAUCUUCGUUCAAAAUUUUUUUAGAACAAAAUUUUUUUCCUCAUUUAAAAUGCAUUCUACUCUUCAGAAUUAACUAUAAACAAUUUUUCUCUCGAAUGGAUCCAAGGUCGAUAAUGAUCUAUCGAUUCAAAAAAAAAAAUUAUGACAGCCAAUUCUCAAUUUCAUAGAAUAUAUCCCCAUCCAAUUCCUAUCUUACCAACCGUCAAUCGAAUCAUUCGUUUCCAUUUUGAAACAAACGUAGGCAAAGAAGAAAAGAGGCGAAGAAGCGGAAAGCGAAAGGCGGAGACUAAAAAGCUCGAGUGCCGGAAAAGGAGACGUGGACCGUGAAAGGUACGCGAAAACGAGUACUGCGAAAAAGCAGGAGACAAGACGGGGAAGAAUCCCGACGGACAGUGGCGCGAGAUAUCGGGUAACAUUCGUCAUGGUGAGUGCGGAGACGUCGACCUCGCAGAGAUACACGCCUGUCGGGACUGGUCGCGAAACUCUUCCAGCGACCAUCAACCGACCGUCAACGCGGUGGAACGAGUCCACGACAAAUUUAAUCUUCUCGCGAGCUUGAUUUCCGUGAUGGAACGAACGAUCACAGAUCCUCGUUUCCGUCGAGAGAUUCGCGGCCGAUUGUCAGACUAAAAGUUUGAAAUAACUUCUUGUACAAUGGAAAAGUGAAAUAUUUAUGUACCGGACUCACUAUAUUCGUGGAAUACUUUGGAACUAACUUUUGGAACAUUGAUUUCAAGAGAAAAUAUAAGUCGAUGUACGUGAAGGUUUAUUAAUUUAAUAAGUUGGAUGAAGAUAGAACUAUCUCGGUUUAUCUUCGUUUCCUUUCACAAACUUUCUAACCUAACCUAAUACAAUUACUUACAGCUUGAUGAAUAAGCCUUAAUAUUUUUAUGUAUUUUCGUAUUUGUUUUGAACCUUAGUCUAAUAUCAAUCUUCAAAAUAUUUCUUAAAUAUAUCAUCUUGUACGAAUAAACACUGUUUGAAAAUAUUAUUUUGUUUAAUUUUUUGGAUCUGAUUAAAAAUCUACUCUUUUCAGCAUCGAUGACGGUUGGUCGAUGGAAUGUCAUCAGAGGAGAGAUAUGCCAUAUUCUAAUGAAAGAAAAAUAAAUAAAAAGAAAAAGAAACACUAGAGGACUAUUGGGACGUUCUCGAGCUAUUUUACAGCUUCGUUUAUUGCGACUAUCGCGAUUAUUGCGCCAUCGAUCGGGGGAAUACGGUAAACUCGCGAUGGCGAGUCGUGAUAAUUACGAAGGAUACAUUUCAAGAAAAGAGUCGAGUGUGGUUAAACUCUGGCGAAUGUUGAUGAGUUUUUCGAGAGUUUUCGAGUUCUGGAGAUGAAAUAUUGAAGUGCUUUCCGGAAUUAAGCGCGCUUUCUUUGCGGUCGAUUACAAAGUGUUGAAGUUAGAAAAAAGGGAAAAGAAAGAAACGCAAAUGUCACGCUUCCCAGAGAGAGUACACUUCCUUCUAAACACAUAGAAAGAUACUCUUGUUCCGCGCAAAACAGCGCCAGGUCAACGACACUUUAACUGAUCUCAAUUCCGUAUAACCAAGAGCUAAUUGUAUCAAAGUAGGGAGGAAAGGAGAAACGGCGAAGUGGAAAACGUUUCCACGUAACUCGAUCAACGUCAAGGUGUCCACCCAUGUUACCACGUCUACGACCAGUCUGACCACUUAUCGACAUCUGUAAAUGCACCUUGAACGGGUCCAACGACGACUUUAUCCAUCGUUGUUGAUUCACCGCCAGUUAUCGAUAAAUUAACGCGGCGUAAACUUGACGCCUUAUCGUGCGUUGGCCACGCCUCUCUCCCUUUCUGUACCGAAAACGGGAGAUCGUGGGAUGGACGUGUGUUGCAAGCGAUAACGAUAACGAUGCAUCGUCGACCAUCGUUGCGGAAAACGGUCGCCCACAGGAAAGGAUCAACAGAGAGUACGUUGAAAUAAAUUCAACCAAAUUAAGUUGAACAACGGAUAAAUACAAUAUUCGAUUAUUAAUAAUAAAAGGAUAUAUAUUAUUUAGAUCUUUCAUUCAUAUCUCUAUACCGAGAAUUGAGAGAAUAAAGAAUAAAAAAUAUAUCAAACGAUUCUUUCCCAAGUUACCAUUAUCGUAGCACAUCAAGGACAAAGCAGAAUAAACGGAGUAAAAAACAAAUAUAAAACGAAUUCCCGCCAAGUUUCCCUUAACAAGUUCCCUUAACCGCCUUCGUGCAGCCUCUCGUCUCGAGAGAGAGCAUUGGAAAAGUAAGUAAUAACUAUCCGGGCGUACAAGAAUUCCUCUUAGUGGGAAGCACGAAAAAGUGCUAGGAACGACGGGGAUAAAGAAAGAACGCGAGCAAAGACGUUGGAAACGACGAGAUGCGAUUAUGAGGGAAAGAGAAGUAUAAAGAAAAAAACUUGGCUUCGAGCCAGGUCAAUGCGAAAGUGCCACGCAACGAUGAACGAUGGGCCUGGCUUCGAUCGAGCAUCGCAGCUGCAUCGCGCUGAACCAUACGGCUCAUAUUACGGGAGUUGAUGUCAGUGCGGCGAUCGGUAACAUGUUAGCCACGCAGGGUACGCAAGGAGGAAUCGAUGAAUACGAUUCAGGUCAUUGGCAAUAGCAAGAGGCAGGUAACUGCGGACUUUCGAUCGAGGAGAAAGCUACCGAAUUCUCGAGUCCUUCGUAUUCGCUUAACGCACGUUUUUUUUUUAUUAUCGGAUGAACGAAAUUCGUUUAUCGACGAGUCAUUAUGCUGUUUUUUUUUUCUCAACUUUUUUUUCUCUCUUUGUAAAUUUCUAAAGGUUUGCUUGAAAUUAUUUGAUUGAAAAUAUGUUAUAAUUGACAAACACAAUUGUAGUGUAUUAUUCGAUUAGAUACGAAACGGGUAAUAAACUUUGAAAAGUAAUUUGUGGCCAAUAAUGUUGUAAAUCGGACUUGUUAAGCGUGUGGUUAAUAGACGCAUUAUCUAUACUUGUACCGUUAAAUAGCGUAUAACGUUUAUGUAUUUAAACUGAGCGUACAUAAUAUCAAAAUAAAUGUUUGGUUAUUUGUAAAAA
Long non-coding RNA from Apis cerana (Asiatic honeybee), 17717 nucleotides. RefSeq lists it as uncharacterized. The record is from RefSeq and is a predicted model, not a curated record. NCBI's taxonomy places the organism in Eukaryota, Metazoa, Arthropoda, Insecta, Hymenoptera, Apidae.